This 2802-nucleotide ribosomal RNA is filed under the name Escherichia coli. RNAcentral describes it as "bacterial LSU rRNA". It matches the Rfam family "Bacterial large subunit ribosomal RNA". The record is from RNAcentral. Lineage: Bacteria; Pseudomonadati; Pseudomonadota; Gammaproteobacteria; Enterobacterales; Enterobacteriaceae.
GGGUUGUGAGGUUAAGCGACUAAGCGUACACGGUGGAUGCCCUGGCAGUCAGAGGCGAUGAAGGACGUGCUAAUCUGCGAUAAGCGUCGGUAAGGUGAUAUGAACCGUUAUAACCGGCGAUUUCCGAAUGGGGAAACCCAGUGUGAUUCGUCACACUAUCAUUAACUGAAUCCAUAGGUUAAUGAGGCGAACCGGGGGAACUGAAACAUCUAAGUACCCCGAGGAAAAGAAAUCAACCGAGAUUCCCCCAGUAGCGGCGAGCGAACGGGGAGCAGCCCAGAGCCUGAAUCAGUGUGUGUGUUAGUGGAAGCGUCUGGAAAGGCGCGCGAUACAGGGUGACAGCCCCGUACACAAAAAUGCACAUACUGUGAGCUCGAUGAGUAGGGCGGGACACGUGGUAUCCUGUCUGAAUAUGGGGGGACCAUCCUCCAAGGCUAAAUACUCCUGACUGACCGAUAGUGAACCAGUACCGUGAGGGAAAGGCGAAAAGAACCCCGGCGAGGGGAGUGAAAAAGAACCUGAAACCGUGUACGUACAAGCAGUGGGAGCACGCUUAGGCGUGUGACUGCGUACCUUUUGUAUAAUGGGUCAGCGACUUAUAUUCUGUAGCAAGGUUAACCGAAUAGGGGAGCCGAAGGGAAACCGAGUCUUAACUGGGCGUUAAGUUGCAGGGUAUAGACCCGAAACCCGGUGAUCUAGCCAUGGGCAGGUUGAAGGUUGGGUAACACUAACUGGAGGACCGAACCGACUAAUGUUGAAAAAUUAGCGGAUGACUUGUGGCUGGGGGUGAAAGGCCAAUCAAACCGGGAGAUAGCUGGUUCUCCCCGAAAGCUAUUUAGGUAGCGCCUCGUGAAUUCAUCUCCGGGGGUAGAGCACUGUUUCGGCAAGGGGGUCAUCCCGACUUACCAACCCGAUGCAAACUACGAAUACCGGAGAAUGUUAUCACGGGAGACACACGGCGGGUGCUAACGUCCGUCGUGAAGAGGGAAACAACCCAGACCGCCAGCUAAGGUCCCAAAGUCAUGGUUAAGUGGGAAACGAUGUGGGAAGGCCCAGACAGCCAGGAUGUUGGCUUAGAAGCAGCCAUCAUUUAAAGAAAGCGUAAUAGCUCACUGGUCGAGUCGGCCUGCGCGGAAGAUGUAACGGGGCUAAACCAUGCACCGAAGCUGCGGCAGCGACGCUGAUGCGUUGUUGGGUAGGGGAGCGUUCUGUAAGCCUGCGAAGGUGUGCUGUGAGGCAUGCUGGAGGUAUCAGAAGUGCGAAUGCUGACAUAAGUAACGAUAAAGCGGGUGAAAAGCCCGCUCGCCGGAAGACCAAGGGUUCCUGUCCAACGUUAAUCGGGGCAGGGUGAGUCGACCCCUAAGGCGAGGCCGAAAGGCGUAGUCGAUGGGAAACAGGUUAAUAUUCCUGUACUUGGUGUUACUGCGAAGGGGGGACGGAGAAGGCUAUGUUGGCCGGGCGACGGUUGUCCCGGUUUAAGCGUGUAGGCUGGUUUUCCAGGCAAAUCCGGAAAAUCAAGGCUGAGGCGUGAUGACGAGGCACUACGGUGCUGAAGCAACAAAUGCCCUGCUUCCAGGAAAAGCCUCUAAGCAUCAGGUAACAUCAAAUCGUACCCCAAACCGACACAGGUGGUCAGGUAGAGAAUACCAAGGCGCUUGAGAGAACUCGGGUGAAGGAACUAGGCAAAAUGGUGCCGUAACUUCGGGAGAAGGCACGCUGAUAUGUAGGUGAAGUCCCUCGCGGAUGGAGCUGAAAUCAGUCGAAGAUACCAGCUGGCUGCAACUGUUUAUUAAAAACACAGCACUGUGCAAACACGAAAGUGGACGUAUACGGUGUGACGCCUGCCCGGUGCCGGAAGGUUAAUUGAUGGGGUUAGCGCAAGCGAAGCUCUUGAUCGAAGCCCCGGUAAACGGCGGCCGUAACUAUAACGGUCCUAAGGUAGCGAAAUUCCUUGUCGGGUAAGUUCCGACCUGCACGAAUGGCGUAAUGAUGGCCAGGCUGUCUCCACCCGAGACUCAGUGAAAUUGAACUCGCUGUGAAGAUGCAGUGUACCCGCGGCAAGACGGAAAGACCCCGUGAACCUUUACUAUAGCUUGACACUGAACAUUGAGCCUUGAUGUGUAGGAUAGGUGGGAGGCUUUGAAGUGUGGACGCCAGUCUGCAUGGAGCCGACCUUGAAAUACCACCCUUUAAUGUUUGAUGUUCUAACGUGGACCCGUAAUCCGGGUUGCGGACAGUGUCUGGUGGGUAGUUUGACUGGGGCGGUCUCCUCCUAAAGAGUAACGGAGGAGCACGAAGGUUGGCUAAUCCUGGUCGGACAUCAGGAGGUUAGUGCAAUGGCAUAAGCCAGCUUGACUGCGAGCGUGACGGCGCGAGCAGGUGCGAAAGCAGGUCAUAGUGAUCCGGUGGUUCUGAAUGGAAGGGCCAUCGCUCAACGGAUAAAAGGUACUCCGGGGAUAACAGGCUGAUACCGCCCAAGAGUUCAUAUCGACGGCGGUGUUUGGCACCUCGAUGUCGGCUCAUCACAUCCUGGGGCUGAAGUAGGUCCCAAGGGUAUGGCUGUUCGCCAUUUAAAGUGGUACGCGAGCUGGGUUUAGAACGUCGUGAGACAGUUCGGUCCCUAUCUGCCGUGGGCGCUGGAGAACUGAGGGGGGCUGCUCCUAGUACGAGAGGACCGGAGUGGACGCAUCACUGGUGUUCGGGUUGUCAUGCCAAUGGCACUGCCCGGUAGCUAAAUGCGGAAGAGAUAAGUGCUGAAAGCAUCUAAGCACGAAACUUGCCCCGAGAUGAGUUCUCCCUGAC